AUUGAACGCUGGCGGCAGGCCUAACACAUGCAAGUCGAACGAGUGGCGGACGGGUGAGUAAUGUCUGGGAAACUGCCCGAUGGAGGGGGAUAACUACUGGAAACGGUAGCUAAUACCGCAUACCAUCGGAUGUGCCCAGAUGGGAUUAGCUAGUAGGUGGGGUAACGGCUCACCUAGGCGACGAUCCCUAGCUGGGCUGAGAGGUUGACCAGCCACACGGGAAAGGAGACACGGUCAAGACUCCAACGGGAGGCAGAAGUGGGGAAUAUUGCACAAUGGGCGAAAGCCGGAGGCAGCCAUGCCGCGUGGAGGAAGAGGGCCUUCGGGUUGUAAAGUACUUUCAGCGAGGAGGCGUUACUCGCAGAAGAAGCCUCGGCUAACUCCGUGCCAGCAGCCGCGGUAAUAC
This 406-nucleotide ribosomal RNA is filed under the name uncultured bacterium. RNAcentral's name for it is "partial 16S ribosomal RNA". It matches the Rfam family "Bacterial small subunit ribosomal RNA", at positions 29 to 526 of the family's 1533-position model. The record is from RNAcentral.